CACCUCUUCUGGCUUCCCCAGCUGCAGCUUUCUGACGAGCGCGGCGCAUGCGCGGCUCAUGUGGUUCCCGCGGGCGGGGCUGGCCCGUUCUGCCGCCCCCGGGCUGGCCAAUCGCAGGGCUCCGCGCCUGCUUCUCCAGUAAUACAGUACCCCCCAGCGUCAUCUUGGAGGAUUAAAUCAGUUCUGAUUCAGAAAGAAGAGUGCUACUGGCUUGAACUGUCAUCUCUGUUUGCCAUCCACCUUAUGCAUUCCCUGAGAUUUCCCACACUAUUGUUUAAAUGCAACUCUGCUGUGCUUCUGAAAUUUGACAGGAGUUCAAGACAGCCACAAAUAAACAGUCAAGACCCUGUGACCAGGAGAGUGCAAGGAAAGGACUCGGCGUAGGACAAAGAAGCUCUGUGCAUGCAUAUCUGUGUAGUCUAUAUACAUUUUGGCACUAAAGCUCCCCUCCCCACUCCUGCCUACUCUUGCCCCAAGAGAAUAGAGGCUAGAUACUAUGAGAAACCAAGAAAAAAGACCUAGGGCACUUAUAAACGUGCUCUGGGAGGGGGCUUUAAUUAGCGCGACUCUGAGAGCCAUGUUAAUUGAAGUACCCGGAGCGUCACAUGUAUCAGCGUCCCCGCGCUGAAAUGUGGCAGUGUGGGUGCUUUAACUAAAACUCGUUAAAUGAACUAAAGCACCACCAUGUAAUUACAGUGCAUUGGAGCAGCCUCCCUGCAUGUGUAUAGGAGCCCCUAGUGAUUAUCUUAACACUGAACUAUUUGAUGAAGCAAAGUACUGCUACAUUUUAUUGCUAUCAAAGUACAAUUUAACUCGAAUCAGUUUUUAGGGACUGUGCAUUUAUUACAAUAAAAUAAUUCAGCAAGACAUCUAUCUCAUCAGAACUGCUACCAGUUUAGCCCUUUGUCAUGUGUUUUAUUUACUGGGUUGAGAGGUAUGAUUUGAGGUACAGAGCAAUUGGAAAAGAUAUCUACAUCAGAUAAACUGUUACUGGCAGAAAGAAUGACCCAUGUGGCAGAUGAGAGUCAUAUUGCUUCAUACACUUAGGGAAACCAUUCAGAGACUGGUGGUGAGGGCAGUACUACCAGCUAAACAGAACAAAUUAGCUGGAUAUAACAUUUGAUUCUCCAUAAAAGUACACAUUGGCUUGAACGUAAUAUCUAACAAGUAGAAUAACACUGAGUUUUUUGUCACUUACCUUUCAAUAUUA
Alligator sinensis (Chinese alligator) is the source of this 1210-nucleotide long non-coding RNA. RefSeq lists it as uncharacterized. The transcript has 3 exons. NCBI's taxonomy places the organism in Eukaryota, Metazoa, Chordata, Crocodylia, Alligatoridae. The record is from RefSeq and is a predicted model, not a curated record.